Molecule: long non-coding RNA, 738 nt
Filed under: Mytilus galloprovincialis (Mediterranean mussel)
Lineage: Eukaryota; Metazoa; Mollusca; Bivalvia; Mytilida; Mytilidae
Source: RNAcentral
GUGCUGUCAAAUUAUUUAGACAAAAUUUUGUAUUUAAGAAUUGAAUGCUUCUUUUUGUAAAUUUAUUGGGGUGUAAAAGCGUUGACCGCAGUACAUUUUGUAUGAAGCGCGGAAGCGCUUCAUUCUAAAAAUGUACGCACGGUCAACGCUUUAACAACCCUAUAAAGUUACAAAAAUAAGCAUUCAAUACUUAUAAUUACAUUUUUUAGCUAUGAUUAUGAAAACACGAAUUUUAUAAAUUUUAUUAUUUAAUUCACCUGUGCACUUUAUUGUUGGAGCAUGUGUUAUCAUGAAUGAAAAGUUGUAUUGAGCAAUGCAACUGCUUAUGGAAUAACACGUGAUGUGCAGUUAGCCAAUCAGAAUAAAAUAUUAUAAUGAAACAUACAUCUAAUGUAAUUAUAUACAAAUGCAUGCAUAAUCUUCAAUCAUGCAUGUUUCAUUAUUUUAUUCCCAUAUAAAGAUUUAUGACAGUUGUUUGAACUUAUAAAAGAGAUGCUCCAUAUUGCUUGAAACCAUAGCCUUUUAAAAAAUUGGAUUUGAAAUAAAAGUUGAAAUUUAAUUUUGAACAUAUUUGAGUAUCCUGUAUUCAGGCACCGUUAAUGCUACAUCAAAUCUGUUGACAUAAGGAACACAAAACUUAAUCUAAUGAUAGACAUUGUACAUGUAUAAACAAUAUUUUUUCAUUUGGAUUUUUCUUAAAAAUUGGUGACCAAAGGAUUAUUGUGUAUGAAAUAUUGU